Molecule: long non-coding RNA, 2638 nt
Filed under: Anas platyrhynchos platyrhynchos (common mallard)
Lineage: Eukaryota; Metazoa; Chordata; Aves; Anseriformes; Anatidae
Description: lncRNA (ENSAPLG00000016637.1)
Source: RNAcentral
AAGAAGCUGAAAGAGGACAGCAAGCCAUGAUCAAACAGUAGACCAGGUGGAGCAGGUACAAAGACUAAGGGAGCAUGUUGGUGAGCAGUAGCAAUAGGAAGGAGGCACAGAAAUCCUGGAAAACCAAGGAAGAAGUAGCAUUAGGAGCACACAAUAUCAAAAAGGAGGAAAGGAAACUGACUACUUCUUUCAGAAGAAAUACACCCUACAGUGGCAUCAUGUGUUCUUCAGCCAUGUCCUUAGAAGUGUAGAUACAGGAAAACUGUAGUACAUGGAAAGCCCAGAAAAAUCCAAAAAGAUAGUUUGCAGGUAAUGGCUCCCUGCAAAGCACAGCCCUGACCUGAGCCCUGGGCAGUACAGAUCCUUUUCUAUGGUCGAGGGGUUUUGGGGGUGGAAAUGCAUUGAAUUUUUUUCCGCUGCCUGAAACCAAGGAAAACUGUUGGGCUGUAAAAUGAUGAGAAAUUGUGGUUUUACUCUUCAAGUACCUGAUGGAUGAUGGGAAGGAAUUUGGAGGCUUCAAAACCUAUGUUUUAAUUUGUCCAAAAAAACAUAUCACAGUUUUGUGGGAGACAUGUUUCUAUAAUAGAUUUAGAGAUAGAUAAACGUUUAAUGACUUGAAAGAAAAGGUGGAACAAAUCCUCCUCAAGACUUUGGCCAGCUGAAUCUCACCACAGAAAGCUUCAGAAUAGUCUGCCCAUGCUUGUGAUGAAUUAAUCUUUCUUUAUAGAUAGAGUUCAUCUUGAAGUGUAAAUGAAACUAAUGAAACUACUCCAAUCCACAGGAACUGAGGAUCUAGGAUAUGUAUAAUAGCUUUUUUUAAAAAAAAAAAAAGUUAUUGUCAGAUCCAACUUGGCCUUUUUGUAAAUCCCCAGACCACAUUUGUUUACACAAAUCAAAAAAUCAAAAAGCACAUGAACUUUGGAAACAGUAAAAGAUCUCAAGCAAAACUGGAAAGGAGCAGUAUAUUCCUGCAGUGGAAACUUUGAUAUGAUAUCAGGACAUGCCAGGAGUGUAGAGAAAUUCAUUCCAAAAGGAAGUCUAAAAAUUAUUGAUAUGCAUCUGAAUGCAUAUUGGGAUUAAUGCAUCUGAAUACAGUUUGGGAUUAAUGGAAAAUUUAUUUGGUUAUCUGUCCCUUUGUUCUUUUUUCCAAAUUACUAUAUAUAAAUAUACAUAUGUAUAUAAUUAUUAUUUUUUCCCAGUGUGUUGAAAUUAAACAGGCUUUCUGGGUUCAAUUUCAUACUUUUAGUUGUAAAAAUUCUGCCACCCUUGCUCCUGUGUCACAUUCAGUGUAAGCCAGAUAUUUUAACAGGCCUGAUAGAAUUGUCUAUAUGACUGACCUCAGCUUUUUGUCUGUUACCUCAGUCUGCACAAAGUACCAUUGAUUCUUCUAAUGCAGGACUGCUCUAAGUGGGCAUGCAAAGACCAGCCUGUCUUGUGAAAGGGCUGGAAAGUGCCAUUGUGUUAAACCACAUUUGUAAGGAAAGAUGAUACACCUUAACAGACCAAUUUACAUACCUGAUAAAAGCAAAACCACAACCACAACCAAAGAAGGCUUGUGUGCCUUCUGACACACAAGCUUUUUCUCAGAAAACUACGUAUUAUUAAACAGUAGUUGAUGGCAUGCAUAUUCAAAUCUCACGUAUAAAUUACUAGGGCACAUUAGUGUCCUGAAAUUGUCAGGCAUGAUAUAACAGUUAAUGUAAGGUUAGAGGUCAUGAUUUUUGAUAGUGAUUUCCUGUAAUGCUUUCCUCCUAUGCGAACCCAUAAAUGUCUGUCUUUUCUUAAAUAAUGAGUGAAACAACUAUUCAUUUGCUUAAAAUUAAUUCUGUGAUGUGUUAGGAGGCUUGCUUCCUAAUGUUUGUAAAACACUUUGAAGCUCAAAACUGCUAUGUAAGUAUUAUCAUUAUUGACAGUAGAAACAAUUCUAGUGAUGAAUAAUACUUUUUCCUCAUAGAAAAUUGACUUUAAUUUAGAUUAAUUGGAGAAUCUGUUGCAUGCUAACAAGAAUUCCUGAAUCAGAUGAUGAUCGAUGAGACUGUUUUUAUGUUUUAAGAUAUUCAUUGGUAAUUUCCUUGGGACUGGGACUGUAUUAUGUGCGUUCAUCUGUUGUCCAGCAUUAAGAAAUCCUGACAGAGCCUUUUGGUCACAACUGUAACUCAAGUUGUAAAUAAUAUCAUCUGGUAGUUAUCCAAAAAACUGUUUGCAGCAAUUCUGCAAUAUUGAUUUGACCCCCAUAACUUUUCUAGCCUAAAUUAAAAAUGUAUUUAGUAAUAGUCACCAUGGAGUGUCACCAUGAGCUUUCUAUAUACUAUAAAUAUACUAUACCAUGAUUAAUUACUUCUAUGCAUUUGGUACGCUGUAAUUUGUUUAGGAUUAAUGGACUCAGCUCAUCAGUAAACGUAGAGUUCCUCCAUAUUUCAGUAAUGGCUAAUCCAUUAGCUGUACUGAAGUUUAUCUCUAAGACUAAAUCAAUCAGCUGAUGCUUAUCAGAUGUCAUCCUAUUUAAGCAGUUUACACUUAAUAGUUUACCACAGUUUAAAGGAGAGUUGAAUUACCUGGGGUUAUGUACUGGGGGAGAUUGGUGUAUUCUUUGAUGUAUUGUCCCAAACAGUAUAAAUAAACUAUGCAUAUGUAGCCA